UACAGUUUGAUCAUGGCUCAGAUUGAACGCUGGCGGCAUGCCUUACACAUGCAAGUCGAACGGCAGCACGGGAGCUUGCUCCUGGUGGCGAGUGGCGAACGGGUGAGUAAUACAUCGGAACGUACCCAGGAGUGGGGGAUAACGUAGCGAAAGUUACGCUAAUACCGCAUAUUCUGUGAGCAGGAAAGCGGGGGAUCGCAAGACCUCGCGCUCUUGGAGCGGCCGAUGUCGGAUUAGCUAGUUGGUGAGGUAAAAGCUCACCAAGGCGACGAUCCGUAGCAGGUCUGAGAGGAUGAUCUGCCACACUGGGACUGAGACACGGCCCAGACUCCUACGGGAGGCAGCAGUGGGGAAUUUUGGACAAUGGGGGCAACCCUGAUCCAGCCAUGCCGCGUGAGUGAAGAAGGCCUUCGGGUUGUAAAGCUCUUUCGGCGGGGAAGAAAUGGCAACGGCUAAUAUCCGUUGUUGAUGACGGUACCCGCAUAAGAAGCACCGGCUAACUACGUGCCAGCAGCCGCGGUAAUACGUAGGGUGCGAGCGUUAAUCGGAAUUACUGGGCGUAAAGCGUGCGCAGGCGGUUUCGUAAGACAGACGUGAAAUCCCCGGGCUCAACCUGGGAACUGCGUUUGUGACUGCGAGGCUAGAGUACGGCAGAGGGGGGUAGAAUUCCACGUGUAGCAGUGAAAUGCGUAGAGAUGUGGAGGAAUACCGAUGGCGAAGGCAGCCCCCUGNNNUAGUACUGACGCUCAUGCA
Molecule: ribosomal RNA, 753 nt
Filed under: uncultured Azospira sp.
Lineage: Bacteria; Pseudomonadati; Pseudomonadota; Betaproteobacteria; Rhodocyclales; Rhodocyclaceae
Description: bacterial SSU rRNA
Rfam family: Bacterial small subunit ribosomal RNA
Source: RNAcentral